RNAcentral lists this ribosomal RNA (497 nucleotides) under uncultured bacterium. RNAcentral's name for it is "bacterial SSU rRNA". It matches the Rfam family "Bacterial small subunit ribosomal RNA", at positions 30 to 521 of the family's 1533-position model. The record is from RNAcentral.
AUUGAACGCUGGCGGCAUGCCUUACACAUGCAAGUCGAACGGUAACGGGUCCUUCGGGAUGCCGACGAGUGGCGAACGGGUGAGUAAUAUAUCGGAACGUGCCCAGUAGUGGGGGAUAACUGCUCGAAAGAGCAGCUAAUACCGCAUACGACCUGAGGGUGAAAGGGGGGGAGUCGCAAGACCUCUCGCUAUUGGAGCGGCCGAUAUCAGAUUAGCUAGUUGGUGGGGUAAAGGCCUACCAAGGCUACGAUCUGUAGUUGGUCUGAGAGGACGACCAGCCACACUGGGACUGAGACACGGCCCAGACUCCUACGGGAGGCAGCAGUGGGGAAUUUUGGACAAUGGGCGCAAGCCUGAUCCAGCAAUGCCGCGUGCAGGAAGAAGGCCUUCGGUUGUAAACUGCUUUUGUCAGGAAGAAAUCUUCUGGGUUAAUACCUCGGGAGGAUGACGGUACCUGAAGAAUAAGCACCGGCUAACUACGUGCCAGCAGCCGCGGU